AUGGAUAAAAUCAACAUGGUGAUAUUAUUGACCAUGCAAUUAACACAAGAUGGACACAGCAUGGAAGUAGAAGAAAGGAGGUUCCUGUUCAGUCUAGUUUGGAUGCUCAUGACCAUCAGUGGGCCAUUUCCCCUUCAUCAAAAUAUUUUUAAUGAGACUUCUGUCAAACUAAAUGAAACAGAAUUUGAGGUAGAGAACCCCCCCCAGGAGACUACGGUGGGAGAACUGUGCAGUCACAGAAGUGAAGACAGUGUUUCUAGAAGGAAGACCUGGAAUCUAUGCUUCUGA
This 288-nucleotide long non-coding RNA is filed under the name Capra hircus (goat). RNAcentral's name for it is "lncRNA (ENSCHIG00010010838.1)". Lineage: Eukaryota; Metazoa; Chordata; Mammalia; Artiodactyla; Bovidae. The record is from RNAcentral.